UUCAUUACCCAACUACACCAGUUAAGGUGGAGUAUAUUGAAGAUAUAAUAAUAAAUAUUUAGUUAUCUUUUUUGACAUAACUCUGCUUUUUAACAAAUAAGAUGUCCUAUCAAUAAAAAUCAGAUAAAAUAUUUCUAUGAUUAAAAUUUAUGGUUAAAAUUUUAUCUUAAUAUCUAGCUAACAUGUUUUAUUCUAUUUUCUGCCAACUGCAUCUAUAAAAGUGAAUCCUAGAAUGAUUCACCUAAAUUUGCAGACGAAUACCCAGUAUAUUAGUGUUUGAGUAAUAGUCCAUUUUGUAAGUGAGGAAAAUAAUUAUACUGCUGAACUGAGAAUGUGAAAAACAUAUUAGAAAGUAAAUAAGAUUAUAUAAUUCUUCAAACUUCCAAAAGAGAGCACAUGCAGUUAACUGGUCUUAUUAUAAGUCAUCUAAAUCUGAAAUCAACUCUGAAUUCUAUAUCUCCAGAUUUUUUCUGGAAGAGAGCCAGGCUGGUCUAUCAAUUAUGUGGGGAUCUGACUCCGUUUCUACCUCCUGUCGGUCCUAAACUCGGUCCGAAUGGGCCAAGAUUGUCGCUCAUUAUUAUUAUAAUAUUGUUAAAUAAUGAAGUAAAAUUCGCUUCCGUUGAAGGAAGUAAGAAUUUAUCUAAAUUCCAUAUCGACA
Molecule: long non-coding RNA, 658 nt
Filed under: Androctonus crassicauda
Lineage: Eukaryota; Metazoa; Arthropoda; Arachnida; Scorpiones; Buthidae
Source: RNAcentral